Molecule: ribosomal RNA, 442 nt
Filed under: uncultured bacterium
Lineage: Bacteria
Description: partial 16S ribosomal RNA
Rfam family: Bacterial small subunit ribosomal RNA
Source: RNAcentral
CCUACGGGAGGCAGCAGUGGGGAAUCUUUCACAAUGGGGGAAACCCUGAUGCAGCGACGCCGCGUGCGUGAAGAAGUACUUCGGUUUGUAAAGUUCUAUUAGAAGCGAGGAAUAUGAUGGUACCUUAUGAAUAAGCAUCGGCUAACUACGUGCCAGCAGCCGCGGUCAUACGUAGGAGGCGAGCGUUAUCCGGAUUGACUGGGUGUAAAGAGGGCCUUAAGGGGGAUGAGAAUGAGCUAAUGAAAUCGGGUGGGCCAACCCCUCAGACUAUUAGGGACACUGUAAAGCUGGAGACCGUGAGGGGUAACUGGAAUUUCUAGUGUAGGGGUGAAAUGCGUAGAUAUUACAAAGAACACCGAUAGUGUAGGCAGGUCGCUGGGCUGCAUCUGACACUAAGGCACGAAAGUGUAGGUAGCAAACGGGAUUAGAUACCCCGGUAGUC